Molecule: ribosomal RNA, 500 nt
Filed under: uncultured Glomeromycotina
Lineage: Eukaryota; Fungi; Glomeromycota
Description: partial small subunit ribosomal RNA
Rfam family: Eukaryotic small subunit ribosomal RNA
Source: RNAcentral
CCAAUAGCGUAUAUUAAAGUUGUUGCAGUUAAAAAGCUCGUAGUUGAAUUUCGGGAUCAAUGCGUCGGUCGUGCCUUCGGUACGUACUAGCGUCAUUGAUUCCUCCCUUCUGAAGAACCGUGAUGUCAUUAAUUUGGUGUUACGGGGAAUCAGGACUGUUACCUUGAAAAAAUUAGAGUGUUUAAAGCAGGCUAACGCUUGAAUACAUUAGCAUGGAAUAAUGAAAUAGGACGUUCGAACCUAUUUUGUUGGUUUCUAGGAUCGACGUAAUGAUUAAUAGGGAUAGUUGGGGGCAUUAGUAUUCAAUUGUCAGAGGUGAAAUGCUUGGAUUUAUUGAAGACUGACUACUGCGAAAGCAUUUGCCAAGGAUGUUUUCAUUAAUCAAGAACGAAAGUUAGGGGAUCGAAGACGAUCAGAUACCGUCGUAGUCUUAACCAUAAACUAUGCCGACUAGGGAUCGGAUGAUGUUAAUUUUAUAAUGACUCAUUCGGCGCCUUACG